Long non-coding RNA from Oreochromis niloticus (Nile tilapia), 1548 nucleotides. RefSeq lists it as uncharacterized. NCBI's taxonomy places the organism in Eukaryota, Metazoa, Chordata, Actinopteri, Cichliformes, Cichlidae. The transcript is spliced from 4 exons. The record is from RefSeq and is a predicted model, not a curated record.
CCCUUCCCCCGUGACCCUGAUAAGGACAUGCAGAUGAGAAUGCAUUGAUGAAUAGAUGAUCCAAACAGUUUUGGUUUGAGACAGGGAGAGAAAAGAAAAAGCUAACAUCACUCAGGGAUGGAGAAACAUAAGAAAGACAGGACAGAAGAGGAAGAAGAGAGGUUAGAUUUAAAGGAUGUCAGUGGGGCCGUUUGAACUCCUGAUGGCGUAGCUGGGAAUCGCAUUUGAGAAGGCACAGAAAUUAUUUCAGAACCAACUGACACAGAGCAGCAGGUCAGAAUGGUCAGGGAUAGGAUAUUCAGGUGGGGAAACGUGGAUGACGGGGAAGUGGAUGUGGAGAGCAGCGUGGAAAGUUUAGAUCAACAGUCCAGAACACAUAAAGGAUGAAUUCUGGAGCAGAGCAACCAAAUCCAAUGGGGUUCAGGCCUGAGAAGCAGAGCUGAUGAGGGCUGCAGACUGGGGUUCAGCAGUGUAGAUGGCAGAUGAGAGAGAGGAAUAGGCCUGGAAAAGAUGUGAGAGAUGGAAGCAGAUGUGGAUGAUGUGAUAAACUUUGACUGCUACAGUUGAUUAAUAUAUUAAAAUGUUUUGUUUUGCUUUGUUUUGUGUUUUGCUGUAGCUAGCUGUGUAGUGAAUUUUAAUAUGAAGCUAAUGACCUGUUUCAAAAUGAACACUUUUACAUAGCCUAUAUACUUUUUUUUAGCUUAGCUAAUAGGACAUGUGAUCCAAAACUUGGAUUUUUGUUUUUGCAUAUUUUGUUCUCCUAAAACAAUUACAUUGCUUAUAUUUUGGUUAUUGUGGUGCUUGUUGUACCCUUCAUGUAUGAGAGGAUUAUAAAUAUAUAUUUUGCCUAUUUUACAGUUGGUAAUGAAAUAAUGUAAGUCAUUUGUAAAACUAAUUAAAAAACAAAACUUAAUGUUAAAUCCUCAACUACUCAAAUAUUACAUCUAAUUAGAAAAUUAAAUGUAGAUGAACAUAUUCCGUUUAUCGGGUGAGGUCAGGGAGUUGAUGUGUUGGUUCAAAUGUUAAGUGAAACAAUUUUCAAAGUGUGUGUUAUACAUACUGACCACCUGUAGGACCCUGUACAAUUGCCAGGUGCUAAAAAUAGAGUGUGUCACACUUUAAAGAUAACUUUUAAUGCUUCAAGGUAUGUUUUGGCUGCCCACAGUAAGACAAAUGUGUACUGUUGCUGCUCUUUUGGCUCUAGGGCUCGGCCACUUCCUGUCACUGAAGGCUAAAUGAAUUUCCAAGUUUAUCAAGAUAUCUAACAGGAUAAUGUCAGAGUAGCUGUGUAAUAGUGAAAGCUCAGAAGAAAAUGUGUGAAGCUCCAGGACAAUGACCCUAAACAGCAAAGUAAAUCAACUACAGUUUAACUUCAAAUAAACUUUCCUUUGCAAGUGACCCAGUCAGAGCCAAGAACUCAGCCCAAUAGAGAUGGCCAAAGCCUAAGAGUGGUUAAAAGAAAAAAGAAAAGAAAAAAAAACCACAAACAAAAAUGUCUUUUGUUGCAUGCAUGUGUUGUACUGUAUCCGUGUUGGGUUCAGCACGAGG